UUGUAGACCGGUAUGAACGGCUUAAUUUAUCAAGUGAGUUUGUUUAACUGAAUGUGAAAUUAAAGAUUAAGUAAUAAUUCUUUAAUAUAUUAUGGGACGAUAAGACCCUAAAAGCUUUAUAAGUAGGUUUAAGGAUGGUGGUAUUUUAAAAUUUAGUUAACUGGGGUAGUUUAUUUUUAUAAAUUAUAUAUUUACUAGAAGAUCCUUAAAAUUAAGAUUUCGUGGGUUAGUUACUUUAGGGAUAACAGUGCCAUAUAUUUAGGGAGACCAGAUCUAUAAAUAUGUUUGCUACCUCGAUGUUGAAUUAGAUUAUCUAAAUGGACAAAAAAUAUAUGAGAAAGUUUGUUCAACUUUUAAAUUUCUACAUGAUCUGAGUUCAAACCGG
RNAcentral lists this ribosomal RNA (385 nucleotides) under Litorogammarus karadagiensis. Its description in RNAcentral is "partial 16S ribosomal RNA". The stretch from base 241 to 385 matches the Rfam family "Bacterial large subunit ribosomal RNA", at positions 2473 to 2619 of the family's 2925-position model. The record is from RNAcentral. Lineage: Eukaryota; Metazoa; Arthropoda; Malacostraca; Amphipoda; Gammaridae.